GGAUGUGACACAGCUGUUCGGUGUAGGGACGAGGGUUAUUUCUAGCAUCACUGGAGUUAAGAAUCGCUGAUAGGGUGGGAAGCAAACAGCCUUCGUGAGACAACUGAGUAUCCCUGUCCUCACCCAGGAGUCUUACAGCCAACUUGCUGCGAAGUGCGCUGCAGGUCCUUAUAAUGGUGAGGCCUAUAUUCAGGGGGCGGCCAGAAGGCUACACAAAGGAGGUACCUCCACACCUGUGGGCAUGAAAUUGGGUGUGGGUCCUAUUCUUUUUUUUUUAAAUUUAUUUAUUUUAAAUAUAUUUUGAUUGAUUUCAGAGAGGAAGGGAGAUGGAGAGAGAAGUAGAAAUGUCAAUGAUGAGAGAAUCAUUGAUUGUUCUUCCUGCACACCCCACACUGGGCAUGUGUCUUUGACUGGAAUUGACUCGGGGACCUUUCAGUCCGCAGGCCAACGCUCUAUCCACGGAGCCGAACUCGCCAGGGCAAGGGUCCCAUUCUUUUCUCUUUAUAAACUCACCAUAGAGAGCUUGUCCACCCAACCACCACCACCCGUUAGGAUUUCGGAAUCUAUGUUUGUGUCUAGCUAGCAGUACCUUCAUUCUUGCUGAAAAGCAUGUAAAAUGAAUACUCACCCAAGUGUGAAAGUGACCUGUUUCCCUGUAUCAUUAUUGGAAGGUAGAGCCAGUGUCCCCACACUUCUGCCGAGUUCAGUUCCUUGCCCUCUGGACUCUAUGCGGUCAGGAUAUUUGCUCUAGAAUUUCUAUUCAUUUCUUUUUCAAAUCUUUUAAAACAGUGUGCACUUCUCUGCUGAAAUUGUCAAGCUUGUCUUCAGUUUCUCUGAACAGAGUAGGCAUGGUUGCAUGAGAGACUGUGUUUGGUAGUCCAGUAUUUCAAGGUUUGUAAGUCUGUUUGUUGCCAUUUGUUUUGACUGUUCUCACUCCUGCUAUUGUGUUUCUUUGGGCGUUGGAUUUAUAUAUUUGAAAAUUUAUAUAUAGGAAUAAAUUGAGGCCCACGAUGAAGGUACCUUCAUAAAGGGGGUGAAGUGGGGGCUGUUUGCUUCUGCCAGGGCUUAGGCCUAUUGGCCUGAGAAUGCCUUUGAACAAUGGCAGACCUGUGGUUCUCAGACUCUGCAGGUGAUGCCAAGCCAGGCUGCAGGGUUGCCUCCUCCUAGUUGAUCCUUGUCCUGAGAGCUGUCUUAGGCCCCAUCCCCAACCCCCAUCAGGCUCCUAACAACUACCACAGACUUGGGUGGCUUAGAAACAAGAGAAAUGGACUUCUCUCAGUCUGGAGGCCGGGAAGGCACCAUCAGUGGCCUGGAGACUUGGUGUCUGCUGAGAGCCCACAUCCCGGUCACAGCCAUCUCCUCAUCGUCACUCACCCGGUGGAAGGAGAGAGCUGUCUCCGGGGCCUGUUUUAUAAGUCGGGGAAGCCACGUGAGGAACACUUUCACCGUAGAACAGCCUCCUCCCUGGCUGUGAGUCCUGUUUCCCUUGGCCAGCCCAUCGCCAGCCCCUGCCCUGUGCAGUCUCUCUAGAAAGAUAAGAUCCAUCUGUCGACAGCCCUCUGCUGUCGUUGGGGCAUCAGUCAAGCAGAGUCAAUUAAGUUUGCUGCAGCCGUGCGCUCCUGCGUGCACGGCCCAGGGCGGGGUCAGCACCUGGCCUUCCCCAGCCGUCCUGCCCGGAGGCGGAGCUGUUUCCACACACCAGCUCUGUGGGCUGCGCUUCUCCCCCUUUCUCUUGUUUGCCCUCCCCCCACUGAAAACCACCACCACCCCAAUAAAUCUGCUGUUGGAUGUGAAAAGGAAAAAUAAAAGUUAUCCUUUUUUGCCAUUUUACUCUUUUUCCUCUACUUCAUCACAUUUUCAACCAUAUGUGUCGGUCACCUGCAUUUGCCCAAGCCCUGCUUUAGAGAGUGAGGACAGGGCACAGCGCCCGCUCUUGCCCCCAAGGAGCUGGCUGUGGAGGGAGAGACAGACACAGAAACCACCGAGAAACUCCACGUUACAAGACAGAGCGUUUAUUUUGGUCCAGAUGCUCUGCCGGGUGCUUUCUGUGCAGAACACUCCGAGGGUUCCAGUCCCUGCUCUGCGUUCUCCACGUUCCUGGGUCUUUAGGGAGCUGUUUCCUGGGAGGACAUUAGCGAUGUGAACUUCAGGGUGUUGUUUGUGGUCUCUCCCCAGUGAUGUAGAAUCAGGAUACUUCAUUGAUGAGCAACCCGGGCUCUGGGGCAGCGAUUCAAAUCCCAGCUCUGCCGCUUGAUGGCUGUGUGACCUUAGCCAAGUUACUUAACCUCUCUGUUUCUCAGUUUCUUCAUUUGUAAGAUUAGGAAACAAUGACAGUCGUUAUCUUAGGGUUGCUGUGAUGCUUAAAUGAUGCAUUUCUCGUGGGGUACUUAGGACAGCAUUUACAACACUCGAAUACUGUUGAGAAGUGAGCAGGACUUCGUGAAAUGUUGUAUAGGACUCGUGGGUUCUUGGUGGAGAGAAAAACCAAUUUGCUAAGUGCUGUCAGCACAUGCUUAACAGAGGCACCUGGCUACCGUAAAGGAUGGAAAAAGGUAUUGAUGGGGUAUUAUAGUCAAAAGUUUAUCACCAUUGGUUUGGGCAAAAUGAUAACCACCAUUCAAUAGCUAAUGCGUACGGCUCUCUGUGUUAGAUGCAUUCAUCCUCCUAGUGCUGUAAGGAGGAUGAGUGGACACUCCAUCCCCCAGGGGGCGCCUGACCGCAGAGCCUCUGGGUGGCAGGGUGAUGGGUGAUAUUUAUUUUCUUUUCUGUAUUUUCUAAAUUGUCUGUGAUGUCACAGAAAACAUUUAUAAUCAGAAAUGAUGUGUUUUUUAUAAAAGCUAAUUUUGUCUACACCAAGCAUGUCAAGCUCAAAGGCUAACACAGGCCAAAUAAACGAGGCAUGUGGCCCGCGGGCCACGAGUUUGACAUGCUUGGUCUACACUGUGCUAGAAGGGCUAGGAGUGCCAGGGGUGAGUGGGCUCGCUGAGUAACGCAGAGCCGGCGGGGGCUUCAUGAGGAGAUGGGGCCUGGAGAAAGGGCAGAAUCCGGACUUGCUCAGUGCGGGAGGAGGGCUGGCACCCGGGCCUGGAAUCGAACCAAGCCGUGUGCCAAUUUAAGUUGAUUAUGGCUUUUGUUUUUUGCUCACAUUAUA
Molecule: long non-coding RNA, 3151 nt
Organism: Myotis daubentonii (Daubenton's bat)
Lineage: Eukaryota; Metazoa; Chordata; Mammalia; Chiroptera; Vespertilionidae
Source: RefSeq, a predicted model, not a curated record